UUGAUAUCUUUCCUCUGUUUAUUUAUUGUAUGCUGUUCUAGUUGUUUGAUAGCCUAUUUCAUCUGCAACCCAGUCGACAAAUGCCUAUUGAAAAUGUAAAAUAAAUAGUUUAUAAAAAUCAUACACAGUAAAAUGGGAUAAUAAAUAGAGGUAAUUUUGGUGAAACAAUGAAUUAAUGAUGGGUUGUUAUUGUUAAAAACAUGACUUAAAUGAAUUUGAUAUAGCAGAACCUUUACUGUGACAAUUACGAUUUGGGACUUUUAUUUUGAAACCGGCUGUGGCUUCCCUUGGAGCCGUUCACUUCAGUCUGUCGUCUGCCGAGCCAGUCGAAUUUUCUUUGGAGCUAGAAACAAUCAAAAGAAAAUAAUUCGUUUUUUAUGAAGUUUAAGUUUCCUUUUGGAGUACGGAGCGUCCAGCUCUGUGAAUGAUGUAAGUUUCGAAGACUAGAGGCUUCCUUUCAUCGAGUAUUUGUUUUGUUUCAAUUCGCCUUAUUCACCCGGAACUUUCUAAGGACGUUGAGGGGUACACUUCAGGGGUACACCCGGCUGCACACCAGCUGUUUGGCGCCUCACUGCUGUGUGCCCAAAUGUAGUCCUACGUCCUCAAAGAGAAACAAAUCCUACCGUGGACAGACUUUCCACCGUUUCGCCAAAGAGCAGGCACUUCGGCGUGAAUGAAUUAAUCACAUCAAGAGGGAUCCUGGUCCAUAUUUCAAGAUCAACGCUGAGACCGAGGUUUGAUCUGAGCACGUUGAGAAGCAAUGCUUUGUUAAGGUCACCCGUGGUAUGACAACGCUAAUAAAGGAUGCUGUGCCUGCCAACUUUGUUCGCCUGGACUUCAGAGAAGCCAAAGAGGAGAAUCAUCAUUCGCAUACCGUGUAUGGAUUCCAUGGAGUAUUCCAUCGAGUAUUUCUUCUGUUUCAAUCGUCUUGGUGAAGUUUUUGAGCUGGAUCUGGAUUCUGCUGAGGAUUCGUCGACUACUAGAUGGCGAGCCACCCACUCAUUCGAAUGUGAUCCUGUUCUACAUUGCGCAUGGCAUAUUUGGUAGGAUUGUGGCCUGCUCGUGUCACAUCACUGACUAUGACUGACUUCAACGCCUUGAACUGAACUGUUUGAAAGGAGCUAUUUUUCUUUUUGAACAACUUAAAGGAACUCUCUACAUCGUGUCUUUUGAGGAUUUAAAGGACUAUUUCCAAUUUUUGAAGGACAAUUCAAUGUUUUUUUUUUUUUUUUUUAAAUGU
Engraulis encrasicolus (European anchovy) is the source of this 1240-nucleotide long non-coding RNA. RefSeq lists it as uncharacterized. The record is from RefSeq and is a predicted model, not a curated record. Lineage: Eukaryota; Metazoa; Chordata; Actinopteri; Clupeiformes; Engraulidae. The transcript has 4 exons.